GCCAGGUGUGGUGGUGCAUGCCUGUAGUCCCAGCUGCUUGGGAGGCUGAGGCAGGAGAAUCACUUGAGCCCGGGAGGUGGAGGUUGCAGUGAGCCAAGAGCCAAGAUCAUGCCACUGCACUCCAGCCUGGGCAACAGAGUGAGACUCUGUCUCAA
Non-coding RNA from Gorilla gorilla gorilla (western lowland gorilla), 155 nucleotides. It matches the Rfam family "Metazoan signal recognition particle RNA". From Rfam's summary of the family: The signal recognition particle (SRP) is a universally conserved ribonucleoprotein. It is involved in the co-translational targeting of proteins to membranes. NCBI's taxonomy places the organism in Eukaryota, Metazoa, Chordata, Mammalia, Primates, Hominidae. The record is from Rfam.